RNAcentral lists this ribosomal RNA (460 nucleotides) under uncultured bacterium. RNAcentral's name for it is "partial 16S ribosomal RNA". It matches the Rfam family "Bacterial small subunit ribosomal RNA", at positions 338 to 795 of the family's 1533-position model. The record is from RNAcentral.
CCUACGGGAGGCAGCAGUGAGGAAUAUUGGUCAAUGGACGAGAGUCUGAACCAGCCAAGUAGCGUGAAGGAUGACUGCCCUAUGGGUUGUAAACUUCUUUUAUAUGGGAAUAAAAUGUUCCACGUGUGGGAUUUUGUAUGUACCAUAUGAAUAAGGAUCGGCUAACUCCGUGCCAGCAGCCGCGGUAAUACGGAGGAUCCGAGCGUUAUCCGGAUUUAUUGGGUUUAAUGGGAGCGUAGGUGGAUUGUUAAGUCAGUUGUGAAAGUUUGCGGCUCAACCGUAAAAUUGCAGUUGACACUGGCAGUCUUGAGUACAGUAGAGGUGGGCGGAAUUCGUGGUGGAGCGGUGAAAUGCUUAGAUAUCACGAAGAACUCCGAUUGCGAAGGCAGUUCACUGGACUGCAACUGACACUGAGGCUCGAAAGUGUGGGUAUCAAACAGGAUUAGAUACCCCUGUAGUC